Molecule: unclassified non-coding RNA, 378 nt
Filed under: uncultured Paenibacillaceae bacterium
Lineage: Bacteria; Bacillati; Bacillota; Bacilli; Caryophanales; Paenibacillaceae
Description: contains 16S-23S intergenic spacer region
Source: RNAcentral
UCCGGUUUGUCACCGGCAGUCAUCUUAGAGUGCCCACCCGAGGUGCUGGCAACUAAGAUCAAGGGUUGCGCUCGUUGCGGGACUUAACCCAACAUCUCACGACACGAGCUGACGACAACCAUGCACCACCUGUCUCCCCUGCCCCGAAGGGAAGGUAUAUCUCUGUACCGGUCAGGGGGAUGUCAAGACCUGGUAAGGUUCUUCGCGUUGCUUCGAAUUAAACCACAUACUCCACUGCUUGUGCGGGUCCCCGUCAAUUCCUUUGAGUUUCAGUCUUGCGACCGUACUCCCCAGGCGGAAUGCUUAAUGUGUUAACUUCGGCACCAAGGGUAUCGAAACCCCUAACACCUAGCAUUCAUCGUUUACGGCGUGGACUAC